CCUACGGGUGGCAGCAGUCGAGAAUUUUUCUCAAUGGGGGAAACCCUGAAGGAGCGACGCCGCGUGGGGGAUGAAGGGCUUCGGCCUGUAAACCCCUGUCAUUCGCGAACAAACCUUCUGGUCUAACACACCGGGAGCUGAUAGUAGCGGAAGAGGAAGAGACGGCUAACUCUGUGCCAGCAGCCGCGGUAAUACAGAGGUCUCAAGCGUUGUUCGGAUUCACUGGGCGUAAAGGGUGUGUAGGCGGUAAGGUAAGUUUGGUGUGAAAGCUUCGGGCUUAACCCGAAAAUAGCACUGAAUACUAUCUUGCUUGAGGAUUGGAGAGGGGACUGGAAUUCUCGGUGUAGCAGUGAAAUGCGUAGAUAUCGAGAGGAACACCAGUAGCGAAGGCGAGUCCCUAGACAAUUCCUGACGCUGAGGCACGAAAGCCAGGGGAGCAAACGGGAUUAGAUACCCCUGUAGUC
Molecule: ribosomal RNA, 464 nt
Filed under: uncultured bacterium
Lineage: Bacteria
Description: bacterial SSU rRNA
Rfam family: Bacterial small subunit ribosomal RNA
Source: RNAcentral